RNAcentral lists this ribosomal RNA (547 nucleotides) under uncultured Glomus. RNAcentral's name for it is "SSU rRNA". It matches the Rfam family "Eukaryotic small subunit ribosomal RNA", at positions 548 to 1098 of the family's 1831-position model. Lineage: Eukaryota; Fungi; Glomeromycota; Glomeromycetes; Glomerales; Glomeraceae. The record is from RNAcentral.
UUGGAGGGCAAGUCUGGUGCCAGCAGCCGCGGUAAUUCCAGCUCCAAUAGCGUAUAUUAAAGUUGUUGCAGUUAAAAAGCUCGUAGUUGAAUUUCGGGAUUAGUACGUUGGUCGUGCCUUCGGUACGUACUGGUGUUACUGAUUCCUACCUUCUGACGAACCAUCAUGUCAUUAAUUUGGUGUGGUGGGGAAUCAGGACUGUUACUUUGAAAAAAUUAGAGUGUUUAAAGCAGGCUCGCGCUUGAAUACAUUAGCAUGGAAUAAUGAAAUAGGACGUUGACCCUAUUUUGUUGGUUUCUAGGAUUGACGUAAUGAUUAAUAGGGAUAGUUGGGGGCAUUAGUAUUCAAUUGUCAGAGGUGAAAUUCUUGGAUUUAUUGAAGACUAACUACUGCGAAAGCAUUUGCCAAGGAUGUUUUCAUUAAUCAAGAACGAAAGUUAGGGGAUCGAAGACGAUCAGAUACCGUCGUAGUCUUAACCAUAAACUAUGCCGACUAGGGAUCGGACGAUGUUAACUUUUCUUGACUCGUUCGGCGCCUUACGGGAAAC